Molecule: non-coding RNA, 28 nt
Filed under: Rattus norvegicus (Norway rat)
Lineage: Eukaryota; Metazoa; Chordata; Mammalia; Rodentia; Muridae
Source: RNAcentral
UAUCUGUACCUAGAGUUUGAAUGUUUGC